CCCGCCCCGAUCCCACGCGAUCCUCCCUCCUGCCCGGGGACCAUGCCCAAGAAAGAUAAUAAUAAAUAAAGAAGGCAAAGUGAAUUACAUGCAGCUGAAGAAGGAUUUUGACCAGAAAAAGGCAAGAAUACAGUUUCAUCAGCCUCAGAGAUUUAAGGAGGAGCUGUGGAAGAUUUUCAGGAGAAGCUGGAGUGCUGCUUUGGGUCUCUGGUGGGGUCCAAUGUUUCCAUCACUGCCC
This is a long non-coding RNA of Pipra filicauda (Wire-tailed manakin), 238 nucleotides long. RefSeq lists it as uncharacterized. The transcript has 3 exons. The record is from RefSeq and is a predicted model, not a curated record. Lineage: Eukaryota; Metazoa; Chordata; Aves; Passeriformes; Pipridae.